CCUACGGGGGUCAGCAGUGAGGAAUAUUGGUCAAUGGUCGGGAGACUGAACCAUCCAAGCCGCGUGAGGGAUGAAGGUACAGAGUAUCGUAAACCUCUUUUGUCAGGGAACAAAGGCGGGGACGUGUCCCCGGAUGAGUGUACCUGAAGAAAAAGCAUCGGCUAACUCCGUGCCAUCAGCCGCGGUAAUACGUAGGAUGCGAGCGUUAUCCGGAUUUAUUGGGUUGAAGGGGUGCGCAGGCGGUCUGUUAAGACAGCGGUCAAAGCCCGGGGCUCACCCCCGGCCCGCCGUUGAAACUGGCAGUCUAGAGUUGGAGAGAAGUAUGCGGAAUGCGCGGUGUAGCGGUGAAAUGCAUAGAUAUCGCGCAGAACUCCGAUUGCGAAGGCAGCAUGCCGGCUCCACACUGACGCUGAGGCACGAAAGCGUGGGUAUCGAACAGGAUUAGAUACCCCAGUAGUC
This 459-nucleotide ribosomal RNA is filed under the name uncultured bacterium. RNAcentral's name for it is "partial 16S ribosomal RNA". It matches the Rfam family "Bacterial small subunit ribosomal RNA", at positions 338 to 795 of the family's 1533-position model. The record is from RNAcentral.